GACGAACGCUGGCGGCGUGCUUAACACAUGCAAGUCGAACGGAAAGGCCCUGCUUUCGUGGGGUGCUCGAGUGGCGAACGGGUGAGUAACACGUGAGUAACCUGCCCUUGACUUUGGGAUAACUUCAGGAAACUGGGGCUAAUACCGGAUAGGAGCCCCUGCUGCAUGGUGGGGGUUGGAAAGUUUCGGCGGUUGGGGAUGGACUCGCGGCUUAUCAGCUUGUUGGUGGGGUAGUGGCUUACCAAGGCUUUGACGGGUAGCCGGCCUGAGAGGGUGACCGGCCACAUUGGGACUGAGAUACGGCCCAGACUCCUACGGGAGGCAGCAGUGGGGAAUAUUGCACAAUGGGCGGAAGCCUGAUGCAGCAGCGCCGCGUGCGGGAUGACGGCCUUCGGGUUGUGAACCGCUUUCGCCUGUGACGAAGCGUGUGUGACGGUAAUGGAUAAAGAAGCACCGGCUAACUACGUG
RNAcentral lists this ribosomal RNA (468 nucleotides) under uncultured bacterium. Its description in RNAcentral is "partial 16S ribosomal RNA". It matches the Rfam family "Bacterial small subunit ribosomal RNA", at positions 28 to 507 of the family's 1533-position model. The record is from RNAcentral.